Molecule: transfer RNA, 73 nt
Filed under: Brassica napus (rape)
Lineage: Eukaryota; Viridiplantae; Streptophyta; Magnoliopsida; Brassicales; Brassicaceae
Description: tRNA-Tyr (GTA) (tRNA-Tyr-GTA-6-1)
Rfam family: tRNA
About the family: Transfer RNA (tRNA) molecules are approximately 80 nucleotides in length. Their secondary structure includes four short double-helical elements and three loops (D, anti-codon, and T loops).
Source: RNAcentral
CCGACCUUAGCUCAGUUGGUAGAGCGGAAGACUGUAGAUCUUUAGGUCGCUGGUUCGAUUCUGGCAGGUCGGA